Musa acuminata AAA Group (dessert banana) is the source of this 2871-nucleotide long non-coding RNA. RefSeq lists it as uncharacterized. The record is from RefSeq and is a predicted model, not a curated record. NCBI's taxonomy places the organism in Eukaryota, Viridiplantae, Streptophyta, Magnoliopsida, Zingiberales, Musaceae. The transcript has 2 exons.
UCUCUCACUCCUCUUCAUCGCCUCUAUUCCGAUCGGGCUCCCUUUCUUGCCCCUUCGCGUUCGCUAUCUGCUUCGAAACCCCAAUCUUUCCGGAUUCUCAUUCCUUUAUUUUCGGUGAUUCCAGGCUAGAUUCUUUAUUUCUAGUUGUUUCUUAUGUUCUUCUGUCCUGCGAGAAUGUCAUUGCUGUUCUUAUUGUGGGGCAUCGUCAAUGCUCUUCUUGUUCGGUUGACUCGGGAUUUUGCUUGUUCCGCCUGUUUCGCCGCCUAAGUGUCAAGAACUCUGUUUCCUCAUUCGUUACACUAUAAUUUAGGGUGUCUGUUUAGCUUGCCAUGGAGAUCAUGUUUUCUAAUCCAUAAAUACCUCUUCUUUACAUGUAUACAAGAAUCAUCAACAAUAUUAUGCUUCCGAAGACAACUUGCAUCUCCGGGGAGCUUUGGUCGGUUAAAUUUUAACUGGAUUGGGUCAACAAGUUGACCCGAAACCUCGUAUCUCGGGACUAAGAACCGAUCAAAGACCGUGUUCUUAACGAUUUUGAUCAGGGUUUACUGAAAGAGAAGUCUGUUUCAAAGACCGUUCUGCAGUAAAAAUCCCUCUUCUUCAUUUGUUGUGUUGUCAGAUCCGAGUGUUGGUACAUUCUGACCACGUGGAAGCAUUGCAGUUAAAGGCCACCGCAUGUCUCGUCCAAAAGAGACGCAACCUUUUCUUUUGUCGAAGAAAGGGGCGUGAGACUUCAGAUCUCGUGGGAGAUCAACCAGACGUGCUUACGAUGGCCGUGGAUACCCAUCAUGAGAUUUGCAGCCUUUAUGUCGCCAUUUUCGAGACGCCUGUAGUUUACGAGAGUUUAGACCGCAUUUAUACGAACAUCUGCUGGGAGUUACGGUAUCACCUUAUACUUCUCUUGCAUUUUCUCUUUACAUCUUUCUCUCUCUAAACUAAAUUCUGUAUCAAAUUAUAUCCACCGGUAGUCUAGACUUUUCCAUUUGAUACGUACUUGGGGGCUGAGAUAUUACGUAGACUUGGCUAUAACUCAUGCACAAUGCUCUCUUCUAAAUUUUAUUUGAACUACUUAUGAGGUUAAAUCAAGGAAAAGGGAUAAACUUUUUCGAGAGUGGGUUCAGGAAUGCUGUACUUUGUCCGAUUUCUUAUUUUAAUGAUGUUGGACAAAGUGGCGUGUAAUAAUGAAUCAAUUGGUUGGUGAGGUAGAAUUGAUGUAAAUAAAACCCAUGGCAUGGGUGUGGAACAGAGGAAACAUAAUGGUAGGGUGGGUGGGGUUGUGGACAUCAUCAAUGAUGGUAAAUCAUAAGACAAAUAAGGGAGGAAUUCUGCUGCUUGGUGCAGUUCUUCCAACAUCUUCUGCUUCCCUUUUCCCUUGUUCCCAUGGUAAAAGAAAGUGGGGUAUACAUUUUAAUUUUAAUAGCUAGGUAGUUUUAUAUUUAUGUAUCUCGUUUAUAAGCUUCUUGAUGAGAAAAGGUAAAGAAAAUUAGGUUGUGGGAGCUGAAAAUUGAAAGAGGGAGAAAGAAAGAAACCUUCUAGGGCCGUGAACGAUCAUCAUGUAGAGAGAAAAAGUUGCCUUUUUGCCUACCAAGAUAAGCUUUUAAUAUCGAAGCUCAAAAAGAGGGUAAGAGCAUCACAGCGAGUUCUUUAAUUCUGACAAAGAAAUUGACUUCGUCGAAAGAUAGAUCAGAGGAUGGAAUGCGAGUGGCCAUCGCUAAUACUUGUGCUAUGCAUUAAAUAUCAAUUGUCCAUAUACUCAGAAGUCUUUGCUUUUAGUCUUUCUCCAUGGCACAGACUGCACUAGCUCUUCGAGUAGUACUUUUGCUGGUCCUGGGUUUGUGCCUGUUGCACAGACCACAUUUUAUUUGUAGUUACAGCUCUCUGACAAAUUUAAUCUGUCCGCCAAUUAGCAGCUGAGACUGGGCCUAAGAGGCGGAAGCCACACCUGCACCUACAUUGUCAUUCAAGUGGUUGUAACAAGUGUUCUUUAAUCUACUCUAAUUCCUCCAAGUGGUCAUUGAACCUACGUGACACCACAGAAAAUGUUGAAGAACAAGACAUGGCCUUUGUUCCUGUUUAAGCGAGCGAGAGUUGGCGCUACAACCGAGGGAAGAAGACAGAUUUGUAGGUGCGGAAGGCCGGAAAGGUUUGUGCUUAAACACUUUCCUUUUAGAUAGGAUGAUUUGAGAUGAAAGAAUUGUGGGACACGAUUGAAACUUUACUUCUCCACUUUGUCUCUCAAGGACAAUCCCUGCCUCACCCUCAUUAGUCCUCUCUUUUCCUCACCCACUCCCUCUCUUAUAUGGAACACAGAAUAUCUCCCUCGUUUGUUCAGAAGGAUCAUAAGUUUGGAGGCACUUGUAGCUCAUUUAUUCUGCAGUUGUUGUCAUGUGGGUUUAUCAAAGUGUUGCUUGCAGAGUUUAUUGGCAUUCUGUCCAUCUCCAAGUCAUCCAUCUCUCCUGAACAUGGAGAAGCUUAUAGAUGGAGGUGGGCAUCCUGCCAACAGAUCUCUGCUGGCUUCUCUUUGUGAAACCCUUGUGACAGACCGGCCUCGAUUUCUAGUAGCCCGGGGAUUCAUUCUCUCAUAAAAUAGAGAAAACAGGCACUUACUUAUAUGUUGAGAAUAUGAGAAAAAGGUAAAACAUGCAGCUCCUUUUUUGUUUAUUCUUUUGAUAGGACAUAUGCAGCACUCGUACAACUUAUGUAUUAUAUGGGCUUCGUGGUGUCACCUCCUACGAUUCUUUUGUUAUCUUGAGUUCUUUUCUUCUUGGCUGCUAUCAUACGUUAUUAUUACCUGUUGAAAUUACGGAGAUCAUUUUCCUUUUUCUUUACUUUCUGAUACUGAUUUCAAUAAGAAGUAUGGAAUCCUUAUCCUUC